RNAcentral lists this long non-coding RNA (2869 nucleotides) under Sus scrofa (pig). RNAcentral describes it as "lncRNA (ENSSSCG00055012862.1)". Lineage: Eukaryota; Metazoa; Chordata; Mammalia; Artiodactyla; Suidae. The record is from RNAcentral.
UUUUUUUUUUUUUUUUUUUUUUUUUUUGUCUUUUUGCCAUUUCUAGGGCCGCUCUCGUGGCAUAUGGAAGUUCCCAGGCUAGGGGUCCAAUCGGAGCUGUAGCCACCAGCCCACAGAGCCACAGAAACACAGAAUCCGAGCCGCGUUCGGCAACGCCGGAUCCUUAACCCACUGAGCAAGGCCAGGGAUCAAACCCGCAACCUCAUGGUUCCUAGUCAGAUUCGUUAACCACUGAGCCACGAUGGGAACUCCAAGACAGCUCUUUUAACAGAGGUAAAAAGCGCAGUGCAGUGGUUAUGCCAACCACCACUUAUAUGUACCCUAGUUACAUGUUUGGAGACCGAGGUCUAAGUCAUUGACUUAGAUGUGAUGUUUUAUUUAUUCAUUUAUUUAUUUAAUUCUAUUUAUUUAUUUAUUUAUUUUGUCUUUUUGCCAUUUCUUGGGCCACUCCCGCGGCAUAUGGAGAUUCCCAGGCUAGGGGUCCAAUCGGAGCUGUAGCUGCCGGCCUACGCCAGAGCCACAGCAACGCAGGAUCCGAGCAGAGUCUGCAACCUACACCACAGUUCACAGCAACACCAGAUCCUUAACCCACUGAGCAAGUUCAGGGAUCGAACCCGAAACCUCAUGGUUCCUAGUCAGAUUCGUUAACCACUGCGCCACGACGGGAAUUCCUAGAUGUGAUGUUUUAAAGGCCAGGACUCCAUUAAGUACCUGGAUCCUGUAUGAUCCCAAUCAAACAGGGAUUCCUAACGACACUUGGAUGCUCCAGGUAUCAAAGUCAAUGCUGACCUGAAUCCUACAGUCUUUCAAAUGCUUAUUCUCCUUGCCCCAGUGUAUAAAUAAAAAGGCAUUAAGUCCUGCUGAGGAAAGACUGGCGAAAUCAUUAUCAUAUAAACUCACCCUGGUAUUGGAUGGUCCUCGUGGCUGUGGGCCAAUCUUCUGCAUUCAAAUCCAGGUACAGAUACUGGCUCAGCUCUGGUGUGGCCUCUGGAUCAUUGUCAAGAAAAGGCAAAAUAAGGAAGAGAAGACCAAUUCUGUGGAUCAUGAGGUGACUGGGAAUCUGGUAUCUUAAGACUUUUGAGUGCAUCAACCCAGAUGCCCCAUCCCUAGUGUCUGAGGUCCAAGGCAGUGGAGUCUGGAGACCCAAGGAUUAUGCUGGCCUGAGUUCAGGAUAUUCAAAGAUUCAUUCAUGUGUUUGAGCUGUUCGUGUCAUUGUAUCUGUUCUUGGCCCCAUAUCCCCUUUCACUGUUACCUCUUUUGCUACAUAAACAGCAAUCAGAAGGUAAGAGCAAUCUCCGGGAAAACUCAGGAACUGGAUGUGAAUGGAUUCUGGGGCACACUUUUUUAUUUUCAUUUUUUAUUUGUUGCUCUUUACAGCCACACCUGCAGCAUAUGGAAGUUCCCAGGCUAGGGCUGGAAUCGGAGCUGCAGCUGCCAGUCUACACCACAGCCACAGCAAUGCCGGAUCUGAGCCUCGUCUGCUACCUACACCACAGCUCACGGCAACGCCAGAUCCUUAACCCACUGAGCGAGGCCAGGGAUUGAACCCAAGUCCUCAUGGAUACUGGUCGGAUUCAUUUCUGCUGCAGCACAAUGGGAACUCCUGGGGCACACUUUUUAAAAUUAAUUUUUUAAAUGUACACGAGAUAGUAUAUUUUAUGCCAUGUUUCCCUGUAGUUUCGAGUGUUGAAAUGUUCUCAGUAAGUCAUAUUUUAUGUACCAACAAGAAGAGCUUUAAUGGUAGAAAAAAAUAAAAAAAUGUCCUGUUCUGGUCAGAGUGUAAGUUAAUUACCCGAGGCCUCAAUUUCCCAAUGGCACUAAUUUACUCCGAAAUAGCUGUUACCGUGGGCCUAACGUCACUGAAGGGAGGAUUAUAUGAGAUGCUAACAGGGUUAAAACGUACACUUCUCUCAGGUGGGUGGAAGCAGAGAGCCUGCGACUACUGGAUGCCGGGAGGAAGGAAGCCAGUGCUCAUGCUCCAUGUCUGGUCGAAGGGAACAGCCCCCGGCUGAUGUGGAGCCCAGUCCCACCCCUCCAAGAAGAGUCCUGAUGUGCACCCCCCCUUACAGACGGAACCCCCUCCUGUAUUCUUAUUAUGAGACUAGGGUUAUGGUUUUGUGUGUGUGUGUGUGUGUCUUUUCUAGGGCCACACCCGUGGCAUGUGGAGGUUCCCAGGCGAGGGGUCUAAUCAGAGCUGAAGCCGCCGGCCCACACCACAGCCACAGUAACACGGGAUCCUUAACCCACUGAGCGAGGCCAGGGAUCAAACCCUCAACCUCAUGGUUCCUAGUCAGAUUCGUUAACCACUGAGCCAUGACAGGAACUCCACAUGGUUAUGUUUUUUAAGGGAAAAAAAAAUAAUACCACAAGAGCAAGUACCCUUCUCAAGAAAUCCUAUCCCUGGUAACUUAGAUGCCUGAACUCACGUGGUUCAGGUGAUCUCUACCAGGCCUUCCCCAGUGUAAAGCCACUUUUUCUUUCCCCUUUCUACACCCCACCAUUGGGAAGGGAAUCAUGCGUCCAGCCCACACCCCAGGGGAGGGAAAGUAACUGUAAUCCAUCCGAAUCGUUCUACAAGGAAGUUCGACCUGCUGUCACCCCAUCUAUUUAUGCAUUCAAUGAUUCAUUCACAUUAUUAUGGACUCAGGGGUAUUUACGUCGUUUCUUGGGUCUUAUAAUCCAGUACUGAUAUGACUUAUUGCUCCAGCUUUGCUCAUUGGGAGUUAAGGAUCAGGCGUUGCCGUGAGCUAUGGUGUAGGUCGUAGACUUGGCUUGGAUCCCACAUUGCUGUGGCUCUGGUGUAGGCCGGUGGCUACAGCUCCGAUUGGACCCCUCACCUGGGAACCUCCAUGUGCCGAGGGUGCAGCCC